AGUGAACGCUGGCGGUAGGCCUAACACAUGCAAGUCGAACGGCAGCACAGUAAGAGCUUGCUCUUACGGGUGGCGAGUGGCGGACGGGUGAGGAAUACAUCGGAAUCUACUUUUUCGUGGGGGAUAACGUAGGGAAACUUACGCUAAUACCGCAUACGACCUACGGGUGAAAGCAGGGGAUCUUCGGACCUUGCGCGAUUGAAUGAGCCGAUGUCGGAUUAGCUAGUUGGCGGGGUAAAGGCCCACCAAGGCGACGAUCCGUAGCUGGUCUGAGAGGAUGAUCAGCCACACUGGAACUGCGACACGGUCCAGACUCCUACGGGAGGCAGCAGUGGGGAAUAUUGGACAAUGGGGGCAAGCCUGAUCCAGCCAUACCGCGUGGGUGAAGAAGGCCUUCGGGUUGUAAAGCCCUUUUGUUGGGAAAGAAAAGCAGCAGGUUAAGACCCCGCUGUUCUGACGGUACCCAAAGAAUAAGCACCGGCUAACUUCGUG
RNAcentral lists this ribosomal RNA (492 nucleotides) under uncultured bacterium. Its description in RNAcentral is "partial 16S ribosomal RNA". It matches the Rfam family "Bacterial small subunit ribosomal RNA", at positions 29 to 507 of the family's 1533-position model. The record is from RNAcentral.